CCUACGGGUGGCAGCAGUGAGGAAUAUUGGUCAAUGGACGAGAGUCUGAACCAGCCAAGUAGCGUGAAGGAUGACUGCCCUAUGUGUUGUAAACUUCUUUUAUAAAGGAAUAAAACGAGGCACGUGUGCCUUUUUGCAUGUACUUUAUGAAUAAGGAUCGGCUAACUCCGUGCCAGCAGCCGUGGUAAUACGGAGGAUCCGAGCGUUAUCCGGAUUUAUUGGGUUUAAAGGGAGCGUAGAUGGGUUGUUAAGUCAGUUGUGAAAGGUUGCGGCUCAAACGUAAAAUUGCAAUUGAUACUGGCAGUCUUGAGUACAGUUGAGGUAAGCGGAAUUCGUGGUGUAGCGGUGAAAUGCUUAGAUAUCACGAAGAACCCCGAUUGCGAAGGCAGCUUACUAAACUGUGACUGACAUUGAUGCUCGAAAGUGUGGGUAUCAAACAGGAUUAGAUACCCUUGUAGUC
This 460-nucleotide ribosomal RNA is filed under the name uncultured bacterium. Its description in RNAcentral is "partial 16S ribosomal RNA". It matches the Rfam family "Bacterial small subunit ribosomal RNA", at positions 338 to 795 of the family's 1533-position model. The record is from RNAcentral.